RNAcentral lists this ribosomal RNA (468 nucleotides) under Triticum aestivum (bread wheat). RNAcentral's name for it is "partial small subunit ribosomal RNA". Lineage: Eukaryota; Viridiplantae; Streptophyta; Magnoliopsida; Poales; Poaceae. The record is from RNAcentral.
AGGUUGAAGAGUUGGAAAGAAAAAAUCUUGUCUAUAGGAGGGAAAGACAUUUUAUUGAAGGCGGUGAUACAAUCAAUUCCUGUAUUUUCUAUGUCUGUUUGCAAUAUCCCCAAGAAGCUAUGCAAGGAGAUGACAAAUGCAAUGGCAGAAUUUUGGUGGGGUGAUACAGAUGAAGUUGGACGGAUGCAUUGGAUGACCUAGUGGCGGAUGUGUAUUCCUAAGAGGGACGGAGAUAUGGGUUUCUAUGACCUCCACUUUCUUAACCUUGCUCUGGCAAAACAAUCUUGGAGACUUAUCACAAAUACUGAUACUCUGUGUGCUCAAGUUCUAAAAGCUAAGUACUACCCUCACUGCAAUUUACUUAAGGCGGGCCCGAAAAAAGGUUCAUCAUUCACCUGGCAAAGCAUUGUGGCCGACUUUGUACCUUCAAGAGGGGUCACAUUUGGAGAGUUGUCACCGGUGAAAUGA